GGCCUUGUAGCUCAGCUCUAACAGCGUGCGCAUAAAAAGCGUAGGCGGCGUCCAUGUGUGGGUUCGAAUCCCUCCGAGGCUA
RNAcentral lists this transfer RNA (82 nucleotides) under Echinostoma caproni. It matches the Rfam family "tRNA". From Rfam's summary of the family: Transfer RNA (tRNA) molecules are approximately 80 nucleotides in length. Lineage: Eukaryota; Metazoa; Platyhelminthes; Trematoda; Plagiorchiida; Echinostomatidae. The record is from Rfam by way of RNAcentral.